UCGAGAAUUUGAACGCAAGUUGCGCCCGAGGCCAGCCGGCCAAGGGCACGUUCGCCUGGGCGUCAAGCAUUACGUCGCUCCGUGCCAACUCCAUCCUACGAUUGGGUGGGAAUGGUUGAGGCUCGGAUGUGCAGAGUGGCUCGUCGUGCCCGUCGGUGCGG
RNAcentral lists this ribosomal RNA (161 nucleotides) under Coelia triptera. RNAcentral describes it as "5.8S ribosomal RNA". Lineage: Eukaryota; Viridiplantae; Streptophyta; Magnoliopsida; Asparagales; Orchidaceae. The record is from RNAcentral.